AUGACCCCUUCAGCUCAGUCUUUUUUGAUGAAUAGCCUUCGAGAAAGACUUUCAGUGAAAAAGCGAGAACUCCGUACGUUGAAGGACACAGCCUGCGGAAUUCGUGCUUUUUGCAAGAUUGAAAUCAGGGCAGGUCCAGAAACUGAUGCCCAAUUCCAAUUCACUGGUAUCAAAAAAUAUUUCAACUCUUAUAGUCUCAUGGGUAGAAUGAAUUGUGUACUGGCCACAUAUGGAGGCAUUGCUUUGCUGGUUUUAUACGUCAAGUUAAGGCCUAAAAAAACUCCAGCUGUGAAAGCAACAUAA
This is a non-coding RNA of Miniopterus natalensis, 303 nucleotides long. NCBI's taxonomy places the organism in Eukaryota, Metazoa, Chordata, Mammalia, Chiroptera, Miniopteridae. The record is from RefSeq and is a predicted model, not a curated record.